GACGAACGCUGGCGGCGUGCCUAAUACAUGCAAGUAGAACGCUGAAGAGAGGAGCUUGCUCUUCUUGGAUGAGUUGCGAACGGGUGAGUAACGCGUAGGUAACCUGCCUUGUAGCGGGGGAUAACUAUUGGAAACGAUAGCUAAUACCGCAUAACAAUGGAUGACACAUGUCAUUUAUUUGAAAGGGGCAAUUGCUCCACUACAAGAUGGACCUGCGUUGUAUUAGCUAGUAGGUGAGGUAAUGGCUCACCUAGGCGACGAUACAUAGCCGACCUGAGAGGGUGAUCGGCCACACUGGGACUGAGACACGGCCCAGACUCCUACGGGAGGCAGCAGUAGGGAAUCUUCGGCAAUGGGGGCAACCCUGACCGAGCAACGCCGCGUGAGUGAAGAAGGUUUUCGGAUCGUAAAGCUCUGUUGUAAGUCAAGAACGGGUGUGAGAGUGGAAAGUUCACACUGUGACGGUAGCUUACCAGAAAGGGACGGCUAACUACGUGCCAGCAGCCGCGGUAAUACGUAGGUCCCGAGCGUUGUCCGGAUUUAUUGGGCGUAAAGCGAGCGCAGGCGGUUUGAUAAGUCUGAAGUUAAAGGCUGUGGCUCAACCAUAGUUCGCUUUGGAAACUGUCAAACUUGAGUGCAGAAGGGGAGAGUGGAAUUCCAUGUGUAGCGGUGAAAUGCGUAGAUAUAUGGAGGAACACCGGUGGCGAAAGCGGCUCUCUGGUCUGUAACUGACGCUGAGGCUCGAAAGCGUGGGGAGCGAACAGGAUUAGAUACCCUGGUAGUCCACGCCGUAAACGAUGAGUGCUAGGUGUUGGAUCCUUUCCGGGAUUCAGUGCCGCAGCUAACGCAUUAAGCACUCCGCCUGGGGGGUACGACCGCAAGGUUGAAACUCAAAGGAAUUGACGGGGGCCCGCACAAGCGGUGGAGCAUGUGGUUUAAUUCGAAGCAACGCGAAGAACCUUACCAGGUCUUGACAUCCCGAUGCUAUUUCUAGAGAUAGAAAGUUACUUCGGUACAUCGGUGACAGGUGGUGCAUGGUUGUCGUCAGCUCGUGUCGUGAGAUGUUGGGUUAAGUCCCGCAACGAGCGCAACCCCUAUUGUUAGUUGCCAUCAUUCAGUUGGGCACUCUAGCGAGACUGCCGGUAAUAAACCGGAGGAAGGUGGGGAUGACGUCAAAUCAUCAUGCCCCUUAUGACCUGGGCUACACACGUGCUACAAUGGUUGGUACAACGAGUUGCGAGUCGGUGACGGCGAGCUAAUCUCUUAAAGCCAAUCUCAGUUCGGAUUGUAGGCUGCAACUCGCCUACAUGAAGUCGGAAUCGCUAGUAAUCGCGGAUCAGCACGCCGCGGUGAAUACGUUCCCGGGCCU
This 1369-nucleotide ribosomal RNA is filed under the name uncultured bacterium. RNAcentral describes it as "bacterial SSU rRNA". It matches the Rfam family "Bacterial small subunit ribosomal RNA", at positions 28 to 1381 of the family's 1533-position model. The record is from RNAcentral.